UACGGGGGGGGCAAGCGUUGUUCGGAAUUAUUGGGCGUAAAGGGCUCGUAGGCGGCCAACUAAGUCAGACGUGAAAUCCCUCGGCUUAACCGGGGAACUGCGUCUGAUACUGGAUGGCUAGAGGUUGGGAGAGGGAUGCGGAAUUCCAGGUGUAGCGGUGAAAUGCGUAGAUAUCUGGAGGAACACCGGUGGCGAAGGCGGCAUCCUGGACCAAUUCUGACGCUGAGGAGCGAAAGCCAGGGGAGCAAGCGGG
Molecule: ribosomal RNA, 253 nt
Filed under: uncultured bacterium
Lineage: Bacteria
Description: partial 16S ribosomal RNA
Rfam family: Bacterial small subunit ribosomal RNA
Source: RNAcentral